CAUUUCUUCUUACUUCCUUUUUAUUUAGAGGGGCCCUUUCAAUAUUUUUUUUUGAAUGGGUUUAAUAUUGUUGUACUUUUUUAGUUUUCAUUUGUUACGGAAAUUCUUUAUUUUUCCUUCUAUUUUAAAUGAUACUCUUGCUGUGUAGAGUAUCCUAGGCUGCAAAUUUUUCCCUUUAAAAACUUUGAAUAUGUCUUGCCACUCUCUUCUGGCCUCUAGUGUUUCUGUAAAGAAAUCAGCUGAUAGCCUUAUGGUGGCUCCCUUAUAAUUAACUCUUUAUUUUUUUCUUGCUGACUUUAGAAUCCUCUAACUUUUGCCAUUUUUAUUAUAUUAUGUCUUGGUGUGAACCUGUUGGGUUCAACUUGUUUGGGGCCUUCUUGUGCUUCCUGUUUCUUGAUAUCUGUUUCCUUUAGAUUCGGCAAGUUUUCAACCAUAAUUUCUUCAAAUGUACUUUCAAACCCCUUUUCUUUUUCUUCUCCUUCUGGAAUCCCUAUCAUGUGUAGAUUGCCGGCUUUAUAUUAUCCCGUAGAUCUCUUAUAUUGCUUUUAUGUUUUCUGUCUGCUGGCCCGAUCGGGUGAGUUACAUUAUUCUGUCUUCCAAGUCACUAAUUUAUUCCUCUACAUUAUCCAUUUUGCUCUUCAAUGCCUUUAACUCAGCUUGCAUCUCUGCAAAUGAAUUUUCUAACUUUUCUUGGCUCCUCCUUAUAUUUUCUAGUUCCUUUCUAAGGUAAUCUGCAUUACUGUUCAUAUCUGCUCUUAAUUCCUUCAUUCACUCUUAAUUGCUUCAGUAUUUUCACUAUCUCCUUUUUGCACUGGUGUCUGUUAGAAUACAGAGGUCUGUUUAAUUUUUUGCUGCUUCAGGUGAAUUUUCUUGUCCUUUUACCUGGGAAUAGUUCCUGAGCUUCUUAACUUUACUUAUAUUUUUCUUAUUCUGUGAGUUUAGGGAAAACAACUACUGUAGUCUUGGAGGGCUAUUUAUAUGUGCAAGUACGCCUAGGUAUUUUGUGAGAGCUUGCUUCUUAUUUAAUUAAUUUAUUUGCUUUUUUAGGGCCACACCCACAGCAUAUGGAAGUUCCCAGGCUAGGGGUCUAAUCGGAGCUGUAGCAGCAACACAGGAUCUGAGCCACAUCUGUGACCUACACCACAGCUCACGGCAACACCGGAUCCUUAACCCACUGAGUGAGGCAAGAUCAAACCUGCAUCCUCUUGGAUACUAAUCAGAUUCAUUUCCACUGUGUCGCGAUGGGAACUCCUUACUUUUUACUUUUAAAGUGCUCCAAGUGCUUCCAGGGAGAUGGAGGCAAUGGGCAGGACUAGUAGCUAAUCCCUGGUUGCUGGGCCCUUGACACUGGCAAGGAACCCACAGGAAGGUGGCGCAGGCUGCUCCUAGUUGCAGGGCCCUGGGAAGUGACAGUGAUCAGUCAAGUGUAGGCGGUGCCCAGAGCAUCUGGCAGCAGCAGCAGCAGGCUGGGUGUGUUACCAGGGGAGUUAGAGUGACAAUGGAGGCGCACAGGCAAAGGUCCUCCCCAUUAAUACUUGUGUCCUUCCAAGGGUCUCUUGCACAGCGGGACCCUGUCAUUCCAGGGUCAUCAGGCCACUGCUGAUGACUUGUUCCAGAGUCUUGAAGUCUGAGUUGGCUAAUUGCUCCUCAGUUCAAAAGUCCCACCUGAGAAUGAGAAGCUGAGGGCCGCAGGCAGAGAGGAAGAGAAGGUAGAAGAGGAGGGAGGAGCUCUCAGAUUAAUCCUGUGAGUUCAUUACCUGGGAAAGGUGGGUCCAGAAAAGCCAUGUUUGGCAGGUAACGGGCCUUGCCCAAGUGACCCAGCAGCCUCCAGCAUGGCAGCCACCCUGAAUCAACCUAAAGAAGCCCAGUUCCCCAGGGCCUGACGAGUGAGCUUAUAAAGAGCUCAUGGAAACGCACUGCAAUGCCAUUCCCUGUCCCAGCAAGAUGCUUCAAAACCAGGCCCAGAACUAAGCCAACAAGAGGGCGUCUUGAUCCCAGUUCACAAUGCAUGUGGGCAAGUCACCCAGCACCUGCCAGGAGACCUUAGUUCCAUGCAAACUGGGAAGCUCAGUCCCACUGAGUGUGCGGCGCAUUAGUAGAGGUCCACUGGCUCCCAAAGGCUCAGGGAUUUAAGUACUCAGCCUCCACAAUGAGGCUGCUUCAUGCUUCUCUUGCUUCUUCCACUGAAGCGUCCCAAAGUGCUUUCCCAGGAAGGGUUCUCUGUCCCACUACGUGGAUGAGGCUCAGAGAAGCCCAAGUCUUGCCUGCAAUCACCUGGCAAGUCAGUUCCUGAGGUCGGAACUGAGACCCAGACCUCCCAGCCUAGCAUGGCUAUUGGAUGGCAUCCUCCCAGAUGCUAGAGGAGAACAGAGGCCAGAGGGUGAGCCUGCCUGCGUGGGAAAUGAGCCAGGCAAAGGGACUGGGUCUCCUGGGGGGGGGGGGGGGGGCUGUCAGUGACAUUUUCUUUGUAGAUGAAGGGCAUCAGUACUGAGGUGAGUAGUUGUAUAACCGUAAAAUGGCAUUAGAAGAGGCCUUGGGAGAUGUCAAUCCAAUUAUUUUUGUUUCCUGGUGAGGAAAUGGAGAUUCGGAAAGACUAACUCGCUGCUCAAGGUCACAGAGUUGGCCCAGGCCAGAAGGAGGAUUGGAGCCUGUGUAUCUUAAGCAUUGACCCCAUGCUCUUUCCAAAUGCCAGGCAUUCUUACAAUAAUUACCUGUUCUUUGACGGCACCUUGAAAGAAAUCUCAAACCACCAUCUCAAACGUCAGUCAGCUUCUCUCCUCUGCUUUCCUGCCAUCUGCACUAAAAUGGCAUGAAGAAACCAGGAAUGAAGGGGUGGUGUGUGUUGCUCAGACCUGUAAUCUAAGACUCAGAACCCCCUGAAUCUUCCACUCCUUUGGUUUUGGAGCCAAAAUUAACACGACCAUGGAAAGAACGGCUGGGAAAACUCGGACAGGUUCUCGGCGAGCCAGCCUCGGGGAGCUGGUGAAGCUGGUCUCACCGACGUGGUCGGGCCCACUUUGGGGCAGGUCUCUAAGGGAAACGUGUCUGGAACAGUGCCCUCGGGCUGCGUGCCUGGGCCUCCCAUUCCACCAAGCAAUGAUCAUGGCUCUGGGCAGAGGUGGCAGGUGCCAGAGGGAGGCUCUCCCAUCACUCACCCACCAGGUGUUCUUCCCAGCAACCACAGCAGCUUGGCAGGGAGUGCCAUGCGGGGUGCUGGGAUGGGCAAAGGGGUGCAGCCCUCUCUCCUCUGCCAUCCAGGUGUCAACAGAUGGGUUAUAGAUCUGCCCCUCCCUUACCAAAUAAAGACGACUUUUUUAGGCUGACUAAUCCCACACGGGAUAAGCCAGGCUGUCAGUUAUCCAGGUUUCCCAGCCAGGGUCUAACCUCCUUAGGCCCAGAUCACAGAGCCAGGCCCAAUUCCUGUAAGGAGCAGUGUUUUAAGAAGACUGGCCAUCCACAGAGCAACUGUGAGGCUGCACGUUCCCUGCCACAGAGCUAAAGGGGGCCAAGAGUCCUGGGAGCUGCUACUGGCCCUUUAAACACCACCCCCCCCUCCCCCGCCGCCUUGGCAAGUGUCCUGUUCCAGUACCUGCAGUCUUCAUGCUCAUGUCCUGUACAGCCCAUCCUCCCACUCGGCCCAGAGAGAGGAGCGUGGAGCUGCUGAUGAGAGGACCAAAGGAAGGAAAACUCCCCCUUGCUGAGAACGGCCUUAGCCCCAAACUCUCCAUCCUUCUGACUGCUUUCUAACCUCAGUGAAACAGGCCAGACUCUUUGGUCUUUCUCCUCUGUUUUCUGAUCCCUGUCCACUGCCUGGCCUCUGAGCGAGAAGGCUGGGUCCUGACAAGUGAAAAAGGGGCACUGGCGGCAGGCCAGAGACCAGGUUAGAAGCUAAGUCCUUGAGCCCAACUGUCACCUGUGCCACCUGUAAGAGAGAGCGCGUGUGGAGCACUAGACUGGGAAUCAGAUAUCCUGGGGUCACCUGCUUAGAUGUCAUUUACUUUCCUGAGCCUCAGUUUCUUCAUCUGCACAAUGGGGAUAGUCAUAUCUCCCCUCCCCACCUAGUUAUGAGAAUGAAAUGAGGUAGAAUAAAGGAAAGCUUUGACGUCCUCCACUCCAGAUCCAUCUGCACCAUGCUCCCGUGGGCAGUCCUGGCCUUUCACACCUGGCCUGGUUUAGCCACUUCCAGCCCUUCUGAUGGACAAGCUGGGCUCCAGCCGAGGGAGGGUGAACAAGGUAGACCCUGGGCUGCUCACUCGCCCUCGCUCCUUCCUAAAAAUACUCUACAAGCACAGUGCCAGGCCCUGUUCAAAGGUGCAAUGGAAGAAAUCCCUGUCAAGGGGUCAAGGAUGGUGGCAGAGCUCACUCCCUGGUCCAGCCCAUGACAGGGACUGCUUGGGGGCAACACCCAUGGUCUCAGCCUUCAGCCAACACCAACCGACAAAUAACCAUUACUGGUGAGAGAACGCUCUGGGUCUUUCGGGCCCAACCGCCAGCUGAGAACCUGGGAAAAGCAGCAAUCCCACUUCUCUGAAGGUCACCCACCUCCACCUUCUGACUGCAUCAGAAGGGCUGGAAUCUUCGACUCACAGGAGCCUGUUUUUUUGCACAGGGUCAGGCCGGGGUGAGCUGUCAAUCCCCAGCACUGGAGCGGCUCACCUCUGCCUUAGGCAGAAUCUCCAGGUUUUUUUAUCUACCGAGCCAUGAAUUGGCACUUUUCACUGAGGGAUGACUACUGGGCCCUUUAGAGCCUCAUUAAGCUCCGUGACUUAAUGACUCUCCUGUUUAAUAGAAGCAAAAGCUGUUUAAGUGGCCACAGCUGCCAGGAACUUGGGUAAAAGAGCGAAACUUUCCAAGCAGGUCGGGAGCAGCGGCACUAAUCUCGGGCCCACCGCCCCUCCCCCGCCCUCAUCUCGGCCUGUUUUGACAGCACCCCAGCCGGUCCCACAGGAGAGCAGCAGUGCUGCGCCUUCCCCUUUCCACGGCCUUCGAUCUAGCCCAUCAUGUGCCGCAGGGGGGAGGAAGAAACAAUCAAGCAUUGUCUUGUUCUGGCCCGGUGUGUCAGGGCUUCACGAAAUAAAUAUUAUUUGCCUGUGAGGGGAACUGGCUGGGAGACAGCUCUCAGCACAGGGUAAGGGUUGUGGAGGAGGAGGGGCAGGGCGGUGAUGUUUGGCUUUGGUUUUAUUUUGGAGUUUAAUCUCUGGCUCCCUUAGUUCUGCACAUUUUCCUCGCAUCCGCACCAUCGCCACCCCCCGCGACCCCAAACAGGUCAUUAAGCAGGAAGCCAGGGCUGUACAGGGGCUCUGCCAAGAAGACACAAAAGGAAUUUUCUGAAGCCUGUGCCCUUGUCACUCCCUAUCCAGCUCCGCGUGAGCAGAGCGUGUAUAUUCUAGGGACUCUCACAGGCUGAAAAGAACAUCUUGGAGCAUUCCACCUGCCACGGCAGCCCCUCAGCACCCAGAUGUGGUUUGCGGCUCUGUCCUUUAACUUCUCAGCAGCCGCUCCCUCUGUGCCGCUCCCUCUGUGGGUCUGGGGAGACUGGACUCCCAGAUAUCCCAGUCAGGCAGCAUUUAUUGAAUUCCUACUGUGUGCUGUCCACCAGGUGCUUGGGCAUGCUGCAUCUCACUUCGGCCUCCUGUCUUUGCCUCUAGAAAGCCUCACGUCUCUCCAGAAGAAAAAACUAAAGACCAACCACUGACUAUGAGAUGCACACGUAAAGGGCUACUCCAGAAAGGCCUAGCCCCCUGGCCAUCUCAGGAGAAGAAAUGAGUAGGAAACCCAGGCCUCACUGCCUGUGCCAGC
This 5799-nucleotide long non-coding RNA is filed under the name Sus scrofa (pig). RNAcentral describes it as "lncRNA (ENSSSCG00055013040.1)". The record is from RNAcentral. Lineage: Eukaryota; Metazoa; Chordata; Mammalia; Artiodactyla; Suidae.